CUGGGGAUCUUGCGCAUGGGCGAAGCCUGACGCAGCGACGCCGCGUGAGGGAUGACGGCCUUCGGGUUGUAAACCUCUUUCAGCUCCGACGAAGCGGAAGUGACGGUAGGAGCAGAAGAAGCACCGGCCAACUACGUGCCAGCAGCCGCGGUAAUACGUAGGGUGCAAGCGUUGUCCGGAAUUAUUGGGCGUAAAGAGCUCGUAGGCGGUCUGUCGCGUCGGCUGUGAAAACUCGGGGCUCAACUCCGAGCUUGCAGUCGAUACGGGCAGGCUAGAGUUCGGCAGGGGAGACUGGAAUUCCUGGUGUAGCGGUGAAAUGCGCAGAUAUCAGGAGGAACACCGGUGGCGAAGGCGGGUCUCUGGGCCGAUACUGACGCUGAGGAGCGAAAGCGUGGGGAGCGAACAGGAUUAGAUACCCUGGUAGUCCACGCCGUAAACGUUGGGCGCUAGGUGUGGGAUCCCUUCCACGGGUUCCGUGCCGCAGCUAACGCAUUAAGCGCCCCGCCUGGGGAGUACGGCCGCAAGG
This 526-nucleotide ribosomal RNA is filed under the name uncultured bacterium. Its description in RNAcentral is "bacterial SSU rRNA". It matches the Rfam family "Bacterial small subunit ribosomal RNA", at positions 355 to 893 of the family's 1533-position model. The record is from RNAcentral.